AGGGAGCUUGCUCCCGGAUGUUAGCGGCGGACGGGUGAGUAACACGUGGGUAACCUGCCUGUAAGACUGGGAUAACUCCGGGAAACCGGAGCUAAUACCGGAUAGUUCCUUGAACCGCAUGGUUCAAGGAUGAAAGACGGUUUCGGCUGUCACUUACAGAUGGACCCGCGGCGCAUUAGCUAGUUGGUGGGGUAAUGGCUCACCAAGGCGACGAUGCGUAGCCGACCUGAGAGGGUGAUCGGCCACACUGGGACUGAGACACGGCCCAGACUCCUACGGGAGGCAGCAGUAGGGAAUCUUCCGCAAUGGACGAAAGUCUGACGGAGCAACGCCGCGUGAGUGAUGAAGGUUUUCGGAUCGUAAAGCUCUGUUGUUAGGGAAGAACAAGUGCGAGAGUAACUGCUCGCACCUUGACGGUACCUAACCAGAAAGCCACGGCUAACUACGUGCCAGCAGCCGCGGUAAUACGUAGGUGGCAAGCGUUGUCCGGAAUUAUUGGGCGUAAAGGGCUCGCAGGCGGUUUCUUAAGUCUGAUGUGAAAGCCCCCGGCUCAACCGGGGAGGGUCAUUGGAAACUGGGAAACUUGAGUGCAGAAGAGGAGAGUGGAAUUCCACGUGUAGCGGUGAAAUGCGUAGAGAUGUGGAGGAACACCAGUGGCG
RNAcentral lists this ribosomal RNA (659 nucleotides) under Bacillus pumilus. Its description in RNAcentral is "bacterial SSU rRNA". It matches the Rfam family "Bacterial small subunit ribosomal RNA", at positions 73 to 717 of the family's 1533-position model. The record is from RNAcentral. Lineage: Bacteria; Bacillati; Bacillota; Bacilli; Caryophanales; Bacillaceae.